AGCAGCCGCGGUAAUUCCAGCUCCAAUAGCGUAUAUUAAAGUUGUUGCAGUUAAAAAGCUCGUAGUUGAAUUUCGGGAUCAAUACGUCGGUCAUGCUUUUUGGUACGAACGGGCGUCAUUGGUUUCUCCUUUCUGACGAACCAUGAUGUCAUUAAUUUGGUGUUAUGGGGAGUUGGGACUGUUACUUUGAAAAAAUAAGAGUGUUUAAAGCAGGCUCACGCUUGAAUACAUUAGUAUGGAAUAAUGAAAUAGGACGUUUGAUUCUAUUUUGUUGGUUUCUAGGAUCGACGUAAUGAUUAAUAGGGAUAGUUGGGGGCAUUAGUAUUCAAUUGUCAGAGGUGAAAUUCUUGGAUUUAUUGAAGACUAACUACUGCGAAAGCAUUUGCCAAGGAUGUUUUCAUUAAUCAAGAACGAAAGUUAGGGGAUCGAAGACGAUCAGAUACCGUCGUAGUCUUAACCAUAAACUAUGCCGACUAGGGAUCGGAUGAUGUUAAUUUUUUAAUGACUCAUUCGGCGCCUUACG
This 523-nucleotide ribosomal RNA is filed under the name uncultured Glomeromycotina. RNAcentral's name for it is "SSU rRNA". It matches the Rfam family "Eukaryotic small subunit ribosomal RNA", at positions 569 to 1092 of the family's 1831-position model. The record is from RNAcentral. Lineage: Eukaryota; Fungi; Glomeromycota.